This 1025-nucleotide unclassified non-coding RNA is filed under the name Zea mays. Its description in RNAcentral is "misc RNA Zm00001eb307640". Lineage: Eukaryota; Viridiplantae; Streptophyta; Magnoliopsida; Poales; Poaceae. The record is from RNAcentral.
CUUCUUCCUUCCCUGCCUCUUCUUCUUCACGGCAGCAACAGCCAGCAGGGAGCUUCCUCCCCUCCCAUGGCCGCCCAGCUUCCCUCCGGUGUCGGCUGUCCAGCAGAUGUCGAGCGCCUCCCUCUGCCCCCUGUGCUUGGCGCUCCCCCCCUCGGCUCCUUCCUGCAUGGACGAGCUCCAUCUCUGCAGCAGCCGAGCACCUCCACAACCAUGGCGUCCCCUGCCCUUCUCCUCCCAUGGAAGCGAGCCCCACUUCCCCUGCAGGCGAGCAGCAACUUCGGCCAACAGAGGACAGCGACUCCCCUCUCCCAGCUCAGCCUCGCCAUCACGCAGGGAAUGGAUGGCGCCCAGAAAAUCCACGCAGCCGGCCCCCUUCCUCCCUGCGCCUAGCUCUCCUUUCUACUACGCAGCAUCUCCCUCCCCCAAGCCCCUGCGCGCGCACAGCAGCGGAUCCCCAGCGCCCUCCCUGUUCAUCUUCCUCGCAGUCAGCCUCCCUCCCCGGCUGCUGCUCGUCCCCUCCAUCCUUUUUCCCCUAGUGCGGCAGCGAGGAGCCCCUACUCGGUCAGCUGCCAUGGCGUCCAAGUUUUCUGCGCAGCAAUGCCGGUUCAAAAAAAACAGCAGCCAUGAGAUCCCGUCCGUAUCGCUUGCAUUGACCCGAUUUGCGCAGCGCCUGCGCGCCGUCGUCGAAACCCGUGCUAGCCGUCAAUGCCAGUCGUCGCGCACGCGUGUUCGAUACAAGACCGGUCGGGUGCACCACGUGCUUGCACAACUCAAAUCCAAUCCCGUUCAGGACCGAGAGAUGAUGAUCGAGCCAUUGAUGUGGUGCCAACCACAAGAUGCAGUUGGUGGACGACCUGAAGAAUGGUGGACUUACCCAGUAGAUGCUCGCCAAGCGAGUACCUCCCCCAGCAAACACUACCUAAGUGUUAAAAAGGAGAAGAACAGGUAAUCGAAGAGGAGCCACCUAACACUGAGGCUUUCGACUUGAUCUAGGUGGCGUCUCCCAGUCAGCUUUGUGGCGCCAG